RNAcentral lists this ribosomal RNA (442 nucleotides) under uncultured bacterium. RNAcentral's name for it is "bacterial SSU rRNA". It matches the Rfam family "Bacterial small subunit ribosomal RNA", at positions 36 to 524 of the family's 1533-position model. The record is from RNAcentral.
ACUGGCGGCAGCUUACACAUGCAGUCGAGCGGGCACCUUCGGGUGUCAGCGGCAGACGGGUGAGUAACACGUGGGAACGUACCCUUUGGUUCGGAACAACUCUGGGAAACUGGAGCUAAUACCGGAUACGCCCUUAUGGGGAAAGGUUUACCGCCGAAGGAUCGGCCCGCGUCUGAUUAGCUAGUUGGUGAGGUAACGGCUCACCAAGGCGACGAUCAGUAGCUGGUCUGAGAGGAUGAUCAGCCACACUGGGACUGAGACACGGCCCAGACUCCUACGGGAGGCAGCAGUGGGGAAUAUUGGACAAUGGGCGCAAGCCUGAUCCAGCCAUGCCGCGUGAGUGAUGAAGGCCUUAGGGUUGUAAAGCUCUUUUGUCCGGGACGAUAAUGACGGUACCGGAAGAAUAAGCCCCGGCUAACUUCGUGCCAGCAGCCGCGGUAAU